AAUGGGCGCAAGCCUGAACCAGCGAUGCCGCGUGUGCGAAGAAGGCCCUAGGGUUGUAAAGCACUUUCAGUCGCGAAGAAACUCUCAAGGUUAAUAACCUUGAGCAUUGACGUUAACGACAGAAGAAGCACCGGCUAACUCCGUGCCAGCAGCCGCGGUAAUACGGAGGGUGCGAACGUUAAUCGGAAUUACUGGGCGUAAAGCGCGCGUAGGCGGUUUGUUAAGUGGGAUGUGAAAGCCCCGGGCUUAACCUGGGAACUGCAUUCCAAACUGGCAGACUAGAGUAUGGUAGAGGGAGGUAGAAUUUCCUGUGUAGCGGUGAAAUGCGUAGAUAUAGGAAGGAAUACCGAUGGCGAAGGCAGCCUCCUGGACCAAUACUGACGCUGAGGUGCGAAAGCGUAGGGAGCAAACAGGAUU
This 417-nucleotide ribosomal RNA is filed under the name uncultured Gammaproteobacteria bacterium. RNAcentral's name for it is "bacterial SSU rRNA". It matches the Rfam family "Bacterial small subunit ribosomal RNA", at positions 370 to 779 of the family's 1533-position model. The record is from RNAcentral. Lineage: Bacteria; Pseudomonadati; Pseudomonadota; Gammaproteobacteria.